Molecule: ribosomal RNA, 326 nt
Filed under: Glissomonadida sp.
Lineage: Eukaryota; Cercozoa; Glissomonadida
Description: SSU rRNA
Rfam family: Eukaryotic small subunit ribosomal RNA
Source: RNAcentral
GAUUUCUGGUGUGAUUGUCUCAGCCUAGUAGCGGUUACGUUAUUGCGUGUUGAGAUUCGAUCUACCAUCGUUUGCCUUGUUCCGGCUUGAUUCACUUCGAGUCGGAUCUCAACAAGGUGAUCUUUUACUUUGAAAAAAUUAGAGUGUUUAAAGCAGGCUUUUGCUAUGAAUACAUUAGCAUGGAAUAAUAAUUUAGGACUUUUGUUCUAUUUUGUUGGUUUCUAGAAUGACAGUAAUGAUUGAUAGGGAUAGUUGGGGGUGCUAGUAUUGCGUGGCCAGAGGUGAAAUUCUUGGAUUCACGCAAGACUAACUUAUGCGAAAGCAUU